RNAcentral lists this ribosomal RNA (1608 nucleotides) under Triticum aestivum (bread wheat). RNAcentral's name for it is "partial small subunit ribosomal RNA". The record is from RNAcentral. Lineage: Eukaryota; Viridiplantae; Streptophyta; Magnoliopsida; Poales; Poaceae.
AUGGCGCUUCGCUCGCCGGAGCUGCGCUUCGCCGCCUCCACCGGGCUCGGCGCGCUCUCCCGGCCCAGCCGCCUCGCUCCUUCCCCCCUCGCCGCGCUCGCUUCCCCCCGCCGACGCCGCCGCGGCCCGUCCCCUUCCCCUUCUCCCUCGCCCUCCGACUCCAACCCCUCGACCGCCUCCGCCGGCGACGCGGACGGGCCGGAAUGGAAGAAGGUCAGCGCAAAGCGGUUCGGGUACAAGGAGUCCAUGAUCCCCGAUGAGGCAUGGAACGUCCUCCACCAACUCCGUAGCAGAGGAUAUGAUGUGUACUUGGUUGGUGGUUGUGUUCGAGAUCUCAUAAUGAAGAAAAUCCCAAAAGAUUUUGACAUAAUAACAACAGCUGAUCUUAGGCAGGUGAAAGACACCUUUGUAGGAUCAGCUGUUAUAGUAGGAAGGCGGUUUCCCAUAGUUCAUGUACAUGACAAUAAUUCCAUUGUUGAGGUGUCAAGUUUUAAUACUUACGUUCGAGGGUCAACUGGCAAUCAAAUGCCCACUUCAAAGAGCCCACAUUGUAGCAAGAACGAUUAUUUACGCUGGAAAAACUGCCAAGGGAGGGACUUCACUAUUAAUGGAUUAAUGUUCAAUCCAUAUUCAGAAAAGAUCUACGACUACCUGGGAGGCAUUGAAGAUAUUAAGAAAGCUAAGGUUCGUACUGUUAUUCCCGCCGCCACUUCGUUCCAUGAGGAUUGUGCUCGUAUUCUACGUGCAAUCAGAAUUGCAGCUCGAUUAGGAUUCAGCUUUCCCAAAGAAACAGCUUAUUAUGUGAGAAAUCUUGCCUGUUCUGUGGCAAGACUUGACAAGGGAAGAUUACUCAUGGAGGUUAACUAUAUGCUUGCUUAUGGUUCAGCUGAAGCUUCUUUAAGGUUGCUUUGGCGAUUUGGUCUUCUUGAACAUUUAUUGCCCUUUCAGGCUGCAUAUUUUUCUUCAACUCUUUUUAAGAGGAAGGAUAAUGGGACUAACAUGUUGCUGGUCCUAUUUUCUAAGCUGGAUAGUUUUCUUGCACCUAACAGGCCAUGCCAUAAUAGUUUAUGGAUAAGCAUUUUAGCGUUCCAUGAGGCGUUGGUGCGCAAACCACGGGAUCCUUUGGUGGUGGCUACUUUUGCACUUGCUGUAUACCUUGGAGGUGAUCUGCCACUGGCAGUGGAUAUUGGACAAUCAAUCAACCGUCAACAUGAUGCUGGGUUUGCAGAGCUCUUGGAACCACGGAUGCGGGGCAAAAAAGGGUUAUUAGCUGAAGUAAAAGACCUUGCUAUCUCAAUGAGGCAGGCAUUAACUGAAAUGACUGACGAGUAUUAUGUUGCAAAUGCUAUGGCGAAAAUCCCUCAAGCACCGUCCUCAGAUCUUGUAUUUAUCCCACUACAAGCAUACUUGAAGGUUCUCAAAUUAAUUGAGCGUGUUCAACAUGGAAAAAAGGAGAUUGGUUACGAACCAAAAAGCGAUGGAAAUAUCGAUUAUCACAAUUUAGCAAAUGGUACACCUGCUGAAGUAAGAAAUCUCUUCACGCUGGUUGUCUUUGACACGAUAUACCCCCCGAACCUGGAGAAAGAAGAUGACAGCUCUAGAAGAUGA